UGGGGGACGUGCCGCGGAGGAAAGUCCGGACUCCCCAGGGCGCGGUGGUGGGUAACGCCCACCGUCCGGUGCGUUCGCGUACGGGAUAGGGAAAGUGCCACAGAAAGCAAACCGCCUCGCCGCCGGGAUUCACGUCCCGACGUCGCGGUAAGGGUGAAACGGUGAGGUAAGAGCUCACCAGCAGGCCGGGCGACCGGCCUGGCUCGGCAAACCCCACCGGGAGCAAGACCAAAUAGGGGAGCAGCGGGAGACAGCGUGGGCGUCGAAGGGCCGGGCGACCGGACCUCGCGAGCCUUCGUCCCGCACGGGUCGGCCCGACCCGUCAUCGACUCCCGGGUAGGUCGCUCGAGGCGUCGGGAGACCGGCGUCCCAGAGAAAUGAUCAUCCGAGGCCGGAUGGAGCGGUCCCCGUUCCUCCGUCCCCGACAGAAUCCGGCUUACGCCACCGC
RNAcentral lists this RNase P RNA (448 nucleotides) under Paludisphaera mucosa. Its description in RNAcentral is "RNase P RNA component class A". It matches the Rfam family "Bacterial RNase P class A". Rfam says of the family: Ribonuclease P (RNase P) is a ubiquitous endoribonuclease, found in archaea, bacteria and eukarya as well as chloroplasts and mitochondria. Its best characterised activity is the generation of mature 5'-ends of tRNAs by cleaving the 5'-leader elements of precursor-tRNAs. The record is from RNAcentral. Lineage: Bacteria; Pseudomonadati; Planctomycetota; Planctomycetia; Isosphaerales; Isosphaeraceae.